UGAGACGGAAAACUGGAGGGCUUCCAAUCAGAUUAUAUACAUCUGCAGCACUUAGUGUAGUAUCUUUGGUCCAUCUCAGGGAUUGCACCAGGUUUUCCAUCUGAACAUGGUAAGGAAAAAGCACCAGUUCUCCAGUUGCUAUGCUCGAGCUUCCCCAUUUACGAUUGAGAUGUUCCAAAAUGGAUAACCAGGUUUUCCAUCUGUACAUGGUAAGGAAGAAGUACCAGUUCUCCAGUUGCUAUGCUCGAGAUUCCCCAUUUACGAUUGAGAUGUUCCAAAACUGAUGACAUCUUUUUCCUAUUACUUAGAGUGAGUUCCAAGUAUGGGUUA
Molecule: long non-coding RNA, 330 nt
Filed under: Nicotiana benthamiana
Lineage: Eukaryota; Viridiplantae; Streptophyta; Magnoliopsida; Solanales; Solanaceae
Description: long non-coding RNA (NBEN_LNC036686)
Source: RNAcentral